This is a long non-coding RNA of Sinocyclocheilus grahami, 262 nucleotides long. RefSeq lists it as uncharacterized. The transcript has 3 exons. The record is from RefSeq and is a predicted model, not a curated record. NCBI's taxonomy places the organism in Eukaryota, Metazoa, Chordata, Actinopteri, Cypriniformes, Cyprinidae.
UGUUUGUACCACAGAAGGGCAACAAGGUUUUGUGGUACUGCUGCGGCCCCACUGUUUAUGAUGCUUCUCACAUGGGUCAUGCCAGGUCUUACAUUUCUUUUGACAUACUUCGGAGAAUACUGAAGGAUUAUUUCAAAUACGAUGUCUUCUACUGUAUGAACGUCACAGAUAUUGAUGACAAAAUCAUCAAAAGAGCCCGACAGAACUACCUGCUGGAGCAGUAUGGAGAGAAGAAGCCCAGUCCCUCUCAGAUACUGCAGGA